UGACGAGUCCCAAAUAGGACGAAACGCGCGUCCUGGAU
This is a non-coding RNA of Schistosoma rodhaini, 38 nucleotides long. The record is from Rfam. NCBI's taxonomy places the organism in Eukaryota, Metazoa, Platyhelminthes, Trematoda, Strigeidida, Schistosomatidae.